UAAUAAUAUAAUAUAUUACUAUAAUUAGCCCAUUCAAUGCUAAUCAUGGUGACUAAUUAAAACAUUCAUACUUGCCUCCACAAACAGAAACCCACUUAGGCUGACGCCACAGCAAUGCAUGGCGGGCACAGCUAGUGCAGGAUAUUAUUGUUUUACUGUCUUAAUGUCUAAUUUGUCAUUGAAGGUAAAUUUGUCACAAUCAUUUUCUCCAUUUGUGAAUAUUCAUGGCUCAGAUGGGGCAUAACAGAAAAAAGAAGAACAAUGAAGUCAUUAUUCUGUGUUUCUUCUCUUUUCAACUCUAGUGCAUCCUACAAAACUGAAAAAGGGAUAUGGGAUACAGAUUCAUGUACGAUAUUUGAAAAGAAGGAAUCCCAUCGCGGGAGAUGGAUCCCAUCCUACUUGCUUCCAGCCAGAAUGUGGAUGCAGAGCAGAAUGGAGGGUGCCAUAAUGAUUAGGAGGAAAGUGAAAGGGCUGUAUGAGUAGCAGCUGUGAAGGGUAAGGAGACCAUAGGACUUUGGCAAGCGCUAAAGAAGAGGAACGGAAGUCCCAAAAAGGACUAAAGUCUAAAGACUGAUUCAACAGUCUAAUUAAAGCAACAGUAGCUUCAUGUGCUAGCUUAAUGCACUUUGACAUCUAUUCCAGUGUUGCCGGGUUUUGUUCAUGUUACUGACUGUUGUUGGUUUCCUUAUUAUCAUCACUACAGGCCCAUUUACAAGUACAGUGUUCCCUCACUACUUCACGGUUCGCUUUUUAUAGAUUCGCUGUUUCGCGGUUUAUAAUAAACUCUAAAAGAAUACUAUAAACCAUAAAAAAAUACAAUUUACAGCCUAAAGAAGGGAGUAAGGAGAAGCCGAAGGGAGAGAAAAAGAGCCCAAGCGGCAACAGGAGGAGGAGGCGGUGAUUUAUCAACACACGAUUGGUUAAUAAAGACUUAAAAUAGUAUAUAACUAUUAAAAUAAUGUAUAAAUAUAUAGCGUCCCUACUUCGCAGAUUUUCACUUAUUGCGGGUGGUCUUGGAACCUAACCCCCGCAAUAAGUGAGGGAACACUGUAAUGUGCAACACAGAAAUCCACCAGUUUUAUAUUUAUGUAUUGAUUCAUCACAUUUUUCUUCUACUCUUCUCCCAAGGAGCUCAAGUGAAGAACAUUGUUUCACCAUCCUUAAUGAAUCCUUAGGACAACAUUCUGAGAGAAGGAAUGCCAUGUGAGUGGCACUGGGUGAGGACCAACUUCACCAUUCAUGGUACUUAGGGGGACCAUUUGAGAGAUGUAUACAACUUAGCUUAGACGGGAGCAUAACACUGAUAGAAAGGUACUGAUGGAGCACCAUGUUGUUGUGUAGCCAGGGAGGGCAGGG
This 1356-nucleotide long non-coding RNA is filed under the name Anolis carolinensis (green anole). RNAcentral's name for it is "lncRNA (ENSACAG00000039134.1)". Lineage: Eukaryota; Metazoa; Chordata; Lepidosauria; Squamata; Anolidae. The record is from RNAcentral.